This 24-nucleotide non-coding RNA is filed under the name Cricetulus griseus (Chinese hamster). Lineage: Eukaryota; Metazoa; Chordata; Mammalia; Rodentia; Cricetidae. The record is from RNAcentral.
CGACGUGCGUCUGUGGAGGAGCGC